ACAACAUAAUAUCACGGAGCGCAGUCGUGUUUCAUUUGUUUUUCGAGGGCGGCAAAGAUGGCGACAGUAGAUUGGAGAAACAGCAAUUGUUAAAAGAACGUCGUAUUUUAUUUUUGGACUCUUUAAGACCUUGUGAGUGCUGUAUUAUUACGUGUGGACGUAUUUUGGUGCUAAUCUCACAACGAAGACGCUGUCUGCUGGCGUUUCAGAGGAACGUUCUAACGUCAUCAUCAGAGUCGAUGAUUGGGCUACACAAGCAAGCAGCAAGGAACAAUCUUCUAUUGGCUAGCACCCAGUUCCUCUGCUCACCCAAUUACGACACGCUGCCUAAUGCGAGACCUGGAUCCCGCUGGACCCAGAACCAAGAUUGACUGUACUGUGGGAAAUGUCUGUAGCGUAAAGCAGUUCAGCCUUGGUGGCAAACGUUUUGCUGAUGACGCAGAGGUUGAAACAGAGGUGCGCAAGUGGCUAAGACAACAGUCAGAAGACUUCUAUGCUGCGCAUUUCAACAUACUGGUAAAGCAAUCGGACAAGUGUAUCAAUGUUGGUGAGGGAUAUGUCAAGAAAUAAAUGUUUUUUCCAGGUUUGAAUACAACACGUUUUAUGCUUUGUAUGCAUUUGUUACCUGUUUACUGCCUCUCCCUUGAAUCUAAACUGUAAACUUGGCAUUACAACAUACACAUAUUGCAUUAAAUAAGCUCUGCUGCUGAUGCUUCUCUGACCCUAUAUCUACUUAAGACAAAAAGACAAUUCAAUCAAAUAUGGGGAAACCCCUAUAUAACAAAAUCUCUGGGGGUAAUGGCCUUCUUUAACAAAAAUCAAGGUUAUACUGAAGCGGGAUUACAUUAUGUUACACCAGGAAACUGUUAUGUAAUUCCAUGUGGCACAGCCCUUGGGAAACUGAUCAGUCAGUAAACUCGUCACAAAAUUCUCCCGUUUCUUCACCGCAAAAGAUUCUUAAAAGCGGAAGCCAAGAAACACAUCAUUCUA
Long non-coding RNA from Cryptotermes secundus, 990 nucleotides. RefSeq lists it as uncharacterized. NCBI's taxonomy places the organism in Eukaryota, Metazoa, Arthropoda, Insecta, Blattodea, Kalotermitidae. The transcript has 4 exons. The record is from RefSeq and is a predicted model, not a curated record.